This 484-nucleotide ribosomal RNA is filed under the name uncultured bacterium. RNAcentral's name for it is "partial 16S ribosomal RNA". It matches the Rfam family "Bacterial small subunit ribosomal RNA", at positions 29 to 507 of the family's 1533-position model. The record is from RNAcentral.
AUUGAACGCUGGCGGCAUGCUUUACACAUGCAAGUCGAACGGCAGCGCGGGCUUCGGCCUGGCGGCGAGUGGCGAACGGGUGAGUAAUACACCGGAACGUGCCCAGCAGUGGGGGAUAGCUCGGCGAAAGCCGGAUUAAUACCGCAUCGGACCAGAGGGUGAAAGCGGGGGAUCUUCGGACCUCGCGCUAUUGGAGAGGCCGAUGGCGGAUUAGCUUGUUGGUUGGGUAAAGGCCUACCAAGGCGACGAGCUGUAGCUGGUCUGAGAGGACGAGCCGCCACACUGGGACUGAACCGCGGCCCAGACUCCUACGGUAGGCAGCAGUGGGGAAUUUUGGACAAUGGGCGAAAGCCUGAUCCAACAAUGCCGCGUGUGGGAUGAAGGCCUUCGGGUUGUAAAUCACUUUUGGCGGGAACGAAAAGGACUGUGCCAAUACCACGGUUCGAUGACGGUACCCGCAGAAUAAGCACCGGCUAACUACGUG